GACGAAGGAUCCAAGCGUUGUCCGGAUUUACUGGGUUUAAAGGGUGCGUAGGCGGAAAAUUAAGUCAGUGGUGAAAGCCCGCAGCUCAACUGUGGAACUGCCAUUGAAACUGAUUUUCUUGAAUAUAGCUGAGGCAGAUGGAAUAUAACAUGUAGCGGUGAAAUGCUUAGAUAUGUUAUAGAACACCGAUUGCGAAGGCAGUCUGCUAAACUAUUAUUGACGCUGAGGCACGAAAGCGUGGGGAGCGAACAGG
This 253-nucleotide ribosomal RNA is filed under the name uncultured bacterium. RNAcentral's name for it is "partial 16S ribosomal RNA". It matches the Rfam family "Bacterial small subunit ribosomal RNA", at positions 524 to 776 of the family's 1533-position model. The record is from RNAcentral.